This 1487-nucleotide ribosomal RNA is filed under the name Arthrobacter sp. BWDY-45. Its description in RNAcentral is "bacterial SSU rRNA". It matches the Rfam family "Bacterial small subunit ribosomal RNA". The record is from RNAcentral. Lineage: Bacteria; Bacillati; Actinomycetota; Actinomycetes; Micrococcales; Micrococcaceae.
AGAGUUUGAUCCUGGCUCAGGAUGAACGCUGGCGGCGUGCUUAACACAUGCAAGUCGAACGAUGAAGCCCAGCUUGCUGGGUGGAUUAGUGGCGAACGGGUGAGUAACACGUGAGUAACCUGCCCCCGACUCUGGGAUAAGCCCGGGAAACUGGGUCUAAUACCGGAUAUUACCUUUGACCGCAUGGUUGUUGGUGGAAAGAUUUAUCGGUGGGGGAUGGACUCGCGGCCUAUCAGCUUGUUGGUGAGGUAAUGGCUCACCAAGGCGACGACGGGUAGCCGGCCUGAGAGGGUGACCGGCCACACUGGGACUGAGACACGGCCCAGACUCCUACGGGAGGCAGCAGUGGGGAAUAUUGCACAAUGGGCGAAAGCCUGAUGCAGCGACGCCGCGUGAGGGAUGACGGCCUUCGGGUUGUAAACCUCUUUCAGUAGGGAAGAAGCGAAAGUGACGGUACCUGCAGAAGAAGCGCCGGCUAACUACGUGCCAGCAGCCGCGGUAAUACGUAGGGCGCAAGCGUUAUCCGGAUUUAUUGGGCGUAAAGAGCUCGUAGGCGGUUUGUCGCGUCUGCCGUGAAAGUCCGAGGCUCAACCUCGGAUCUGCGGUGGGUACGGGCAGACUAGAGUGAUGUAGGGGAGACUGGAAUUCCUGGUGUAGCGGUGAAAUGCGCAGAUAUCAGGAGGAACACCGAUGGCGAAGGCAGGUCUCUGGGCAUUUACUGACGCUGAGGAGCGAAAGCAUGGGGAGCGAACAGGAUUAGAUACCCUGGUAGUCCAUGCCGUAAACGUUGGGCACUAGGUGUGGGGGACAUUCCACGUUUUCCGCGCCGUAGCUAACGCAUUAAGUGCCCCGCCUGGGGAGUACGGCCGCAAGGCUAAAACUCAAAGGAAUUGACGGGGGCCCGCACAAGCGGCGGAGCAUGCGGAUUAAUUCGAUGCAACGCGAAGAACCUUACCAAGGCUUGACAUGUGCCAGACCGCCCCAGAGAUGGGGUUUCCCUUCGGGGCUGGUUCACAGGUGGUGCAUGGUUGUCGUCAGCUCGUGUCGUGAGAUGUUGGGUUAAGUCCCGCAACGAGCGCAACCCUCGUUCCAUGUUGCCAGCACGUAGUGGUGGGGACUCAUGGGAGACUGCCGGGGUCAACUCGGAGGAAGGUGGGGAUGACGUCAAAUCAUCAUGCCCCUUAUGUCUUGGGCUUCACGCAUGCUACAAUGGCCGGUACAAUGGGUUGCGAUACUGUGAGGUGGAGCUAAUCCCUAAAAGCCGGUCUCAGUUCGGAUUGGGGUCUGCAACUCGACCCCAUGAAGUCGGAGUCGCUAGUAAUCGCAGAUCAGCAACGCUGCGGUGAAUACGUUCCCGGGCCUUGUACACACCGCCCGUCAAGUCACGAAAGUUGGUAACACCCGAAGCCGAUGGCCUAACCACCUUGUGUGGGGGGAGUCGUCGAAGGUGGGACUGGCGAUUGGGACUAAGUCGUAACAAGGUAACC